CUACGGGCGGCAGCAGUGGGGAAUAUUGCACAAUGGAGGAAACUCUGAUGCAGCAACGCCGCGUGGAGGAUGACACUUUUCGGAGCGUAAACUCCUUUUAUAUAGGAAGAAGAUGACGGUACUAUAUGAAUAAGCGCCGGCUAACUCCGUGCCAGCAGCCGCGGUAAUACGGAGGGCGCAAGCGUUACUCGGAAUCACUGGGCGUAAAGAGCGUGUAGGCGGAUUAAAAGGUCAGAAGUGAAAUCCUAUAGCUUAACUAUAGAACUGCUUCUGAAACUCUUAAUCUAGAAUAUGGGAGAGGUAGAUGGAAUCUCUGGUGUAGGGGUAAAAUCCGUAGAGAUCAGAAGGAAUACCGAUUGCGAAGGCGAUCUACUAGAACAUUAUUGACGCUGAGACGCGAAAGCGUGGGGAGCAAACAGGAUUAGAUACCCCGGUAGUC
This 439-nucleotide ribosomal RNA is filed under the name uncultured bacterium. RNAcentral's name for it is "partial 16S ribosomal RNA". It matches the Rfam family "Bacterial small subunit ribosomal RNA", at positions 339 to 795 of the family's 1533-position model. The record is from RNAcentral.